AAACCAACAGGGAUUGCCUCAGUAACGGCGAGUGAAGCGGCAACAGCUCAAAUUUGAAAUCUGGCCUCACGGUCCGAGUUGUAAUUUGUAGAGGAUGCUUUUGGCGAGGUGCUUUCCGAGUUCCCUGGAACGGGACGCCAUAGAGGGUGAGGGCCCCGUACGGUAAGACCACCGAGCCUCUGUAAAGCUCCUUCGACGAGUCGAGUAGUUUGGGAAUGCUGCUCUAAAUGGGAGGUGUACGUCUUCUAAAGCUAAAUACCGGCCAGAGACCGAUAGCGCACAAGUAGAGUGAUCGAAAGAUGAAAAGCACUUUGAAAAGAGGGUUAAAAAGUACGUGAAAUUGUUGAAAGGGAAGCAUUCAUGACCAGACUUGGGCUUGGUUGAACAUCCGGCGUUCUCGCCGGUGCACUCUGCCAGUCCAGGCCAGCAUCAGUUUGCCCCGGGGGACAAAGGCGGUGGGAAUGUGGCUCCCUUCGGGGAGUGUUAUAGCCCGCCGUGUAAUGCCCUGGGGCGGACUGAGGAACGCGCUUCGGCACGGAUGCUGGCGUAAUGGUCAUCAAUGAC
RNAcentral lists this ribosomal RNA (564 nucleotides) under cf. Acremonium sp. FSU2858. RNAcentral's name for it is "eukaryotic LSU rRNA". It matches the Rfam family "Eukaryotic large subunit ribosomal RNA", at positions 62 to 648 of the family's 3401-position model. Lineage: Eukaryota; Fungi; Ascomycota. The record is from RNAcentral.